RNAcentral lists this unclassified non-coding RNA (363 nucleotides) under uncultured bacterium. Its description in RNAcentral is "contains 16S-23S intergenic spacer region". The record is from RNAcentral.
UCCCUAUUACUAGAGCAGUCUGAAUAGAAAAAUACAACUAUUCACAAGGGUUGCGCUCGUUGAUGGACUUAACCAAACAUCUCACGACACGAGCUGACGGCGGCCAUGCAACACCUGUCACUUGGUUCCAAAAGGCACACUUUGCUUUCGCAAUGCUUCCAAGGAUGUCAAACCCUGGUAAGGUUCUUCGUUUAUCAUCGAAUUAAAGAACACGAUCCACCGCUUGUGCUGAUCCCCGUCAAUUCCUUUAUGUUUUAGUCUUGCGACCGUACUCCACAGGCGGGAUACUUAACGCGUUAGCGACGGCACCGGGAGGGUCGCUCCCCCCGACGCCUAGUGCCCAUCGUUUACGGCGUGGACUAC